GAUUAAGUUAUUAAGGGCGCACGGUGGAUGCCUUGGCACUAGAAGCCGAUGAAGGACGUUACUAACGACGAUAUGCUUUGGGGAGCUGUAAGUAAGCUUUGAUCCAGAGAUUUCCGAAUGGGGAAACCCAGCAUGAGUUAUGUCAUGUUAUCGAUAUGUGAAUACAUAGCAUAUCAGAAGGCACACCCGGAGAACUGAAACAUCUUAGUACCCGGAGGAAGAGAAAGAAAAUUCGAUUCCCUUAGUAGCGGCGAGCGAAACGGGAAGAGCCCAAACCAACAAGCUUGCUUGUUGGGGUUGUAGGACACUCUAUACGGAGUUACAAAGGACGACAUUAGACGAAUCAUCUGGAAAGAUGAAUCAAAGAAGGUAAUAAUCCUGUAGUCGAAAAUGUUGUCUCUCUUGAGUGGAUCCUGAGUACGACGGAGCACGUGAAAUUCCGUCGGAAUCUGGGAGGACCAUCUCCUAAGGCUAAAUACUCUCUAGUGACCGAUAGUGAACCAGUACCGUGAGGGAAAGGUGAAAAGCACCCCGGAAGGGGAGUGAAAUAGAACCUGAAACCGUGUGCUUACAAGUAGUCAGAGCCCGUUAAUGGGUGAUGGCGUGCCUUUUGUAGAAUGAACCGGCGAGUUACGAUUUGAUGCAAGGUUAAGCAGUAAAUGUGGAGCCGUAGCGAAAGCGAGUCUGAAUAGGGCGUUUAGUAUUUGGUCGUAGACCCGAAACCAGGUGAUCUACCCUUGGUCAGGUUGAAGUUCAGGUAACACUGAAUGGAGGACCGAACCGACUUACGUUGAAAAGUGAGCGGAUGAACUGAGGGUAGCGGAGAAAUUCCAAUCGAACCUGGAGAUAGCUGGUUCUCUCCGAAAUAGCUUUAGGGCUAGCCUCAAGUGAUGAUUAUUGGAGGUAGAGCACUGUUUGGACGAGGGGCCCCUCUCGGGUUACCGAAUUCAGACAAACUCCGAAUGCCAAUUAAUUUAACUUGGGAGUCAGAACAUGGGUGAUAAGGUCCGUGUUCGAAAGGGAAACAGCCCAGACCACCAGCUAAGGUCCCAAAAUAUAUGUUAAGUGGAAAAGGAUGUGGCGUUGCCCAGACAACUAGGAUGUUGGCUUAGAAGCAGCCAUCAUUUAAAGAGUGCGUAAUAGCUCACUAGUCGAGUGACACUGCGCCGAAAAUGUACCGGGGCUAAACAUAUUACCGAAGCUGUGGAUUGUCCUUUGGACAAUGGUAGGAGAGCGUUCUAAGGGCGUUGAAGCAUGAUCGUAAGGACAUGUGGAGCGCUUAGAAGUGAGAAUGCCGGUGUGAGUAGCGAAAGACGGGUGAGAAUCCCGUCCACCGAUUGACUAAGGUUUCCAGAGGAAGGCUCGUCCGCUCUGGGUUAGUCGGGUCCUAAGCUGAGGCCGACAGGCGUAGGCGAUGGAUAACAGGUUGAUAUUCCUGUACCACCUAUAAUCGUUUUAAUCGAUGGGGGGACGCAGUAGGAUAGGCGAAGCGUGCGAUUGGAUUGCACGUCUAAGCAGUAAGGCUGAGUAUUAGGCAAAUCCGGUACUCGUUAAGGCUGAGCUGUGAUGGGGAGAAGACAUUGUGUCUUCGAGUCGUUGAUUUCACACUGCCGAGAAAAGCCUCUAGAUAGAAAAUAGGUGCCCGUACCGCAAACCGACACAGGUAGUCAAGAUGAGAAUUCUAAGGUGAGCGAGCGAACUCUCGUUAAGGAACUCGGCAAAAUGACCCCGUAACUUCGGGAGAAGGGGUGCUCUUUAGGGUUAACGCCCAGAAGAGCCGCAGUGAAUAGGCCCAAGCGACUGUUUAUCAAAAACACAGGUCUCUGCUAAACCGUAAGGUGAUGUAUAGGGGCUGACGCCUGCCCGGUGCUGGAAGGUUAAGAGGAGUGGUUAGCUUCUGCGAAGCUACGAAUCGAAGCCCCAGUAAACGGCGGCCGUAACUAUAACGGUCCUAAGGUAGCGAAAUUCCUUGUCGGGUAAGUUCCGACCCGCACGAAAGGCGUAACGAUUUGGGCACUGUCUCAACGAGAGACUCGGUGAAAUCAUAGUACCUGUGAAGAUGCAGGUUACCCGCGACAGGACGGAAAGACCCCGUGGAGCUUUACUGUAGCCUGAUAUUGAAAUUCGGCACAGCUUGUACAGGAUAGGUAGGAGCCUUUGAAACGUGAGCGCUAGCUUACGUGGAGGCGCUGGUGGGAUACUACCCUAGCUGUGUUGGCUUUCUAACCCGCACCACUUAUCGUGGUGGGAGACAGUGUCAAGCGGGCAGUUUGACUGGGGCGGUCGCCUCCUAAAAGGUAACGGAGGCGCUCAAAGGUUCCCUCAGAAUGGUUGGAAAUCAUUCAUAGAGUGUAAAGGCAUAAGGGAGCUUGACUGCGAGACCUACAAGUCGAGCAGGGUCGAAAGACGGACUUAGUGAUCCGGUGGUUCCGCAUGGAAGGGCCAUCGCUCAACGGAUAAAAGCUACCCCGGGGAUAACAGGCUUAUCUCCCCCAAGAGUUCACAUCGACGGGGAGGUUUGGCACCUCGAUGUCGGCUCAUCGCAUCCUGGGGCUGUAGUCGGUCCCAAGGGUUGGGCUGUUCGCCCAUUAAAGCGGUACGCGAGCUGGGUUCAGAACGUCGUGAGACAGUUCGGUCCCUAUCCGUCGUGGGCGUAGGAAAUUUGAGAGGAGCUGUCCUUAGUACGAGAGGACCGGGAUGGACAUACCUCUGGUGUACCAGUUGUCGUGCCAACGGCAUAGCUGGGUAGCUAUG
This 2754-nucleotide ribosomal RNA is filed under the name Staphylococcus aureus. Its description in RNAcentral is "partial 23S ribosomal RNA". It matches the Rfam family "Bacterial large subunit ribosomal RNA". Lineage: Bacteria; Bacillati; Bacillota; Bacilli; Caryophanales; Staphylococcaceae. The record is from RNAcentral.